ACGCUAGCUACAGGCUUAACACAUGCAAGUCGAGGGGCAGCAUGGUCUUAGCUUGCUAAGGCCGAUGGCGACCGGCGCACGGGUGAGUAACACGUAUCCAACCUGCCGUCUACUCUUGGACAGCCUUCUGAAAGGAAGAUUAAUACAAGAUGGCAUCAUGAGUCCGCAUGUUCACAUGAUUAAAGGUAUUCCGGUAGACGAUGGGGAUGCGUUCCAUUAGAUAGUAGGCGGGGUAACGGCCCACCUAGUCUUCGAUGGAUAGGGGUUCUGAGAGGAAGGUCCCCCACAUUGGAACUGAGACACGGUCCAAACUCCUACGGGAGGCAGCAGUGAGGAAUAUUGGUCAAUGGGCGAGAGCCUGAACCAGCCAAGUAGCGUGAAGGAUGACUGCCCUAUGGGUUGUAAACUUCUUUUAUAAAGGAAUAAAGUCGGGUAUGGAUACCCGUUUGCAUGUACUUUAUGAAUAAGGAUCGGCUAACUCCGUGCCAGCAGCCGCGGUAAUACGGAGGAUCCGAGCGUUAUCCGGAUUUAUUGGGUUUAAAGGGAGCGUAGAUGGAUGUUUAAGUCAGUUGUGAAAGUUUGCGGCUCAACCGUAAAAUUGCAGUUGAUACUGGAUAUCUUGAGUGCAGUUGAGGCAGGCGGAAUUCGUGGUGUAGCGGUGAAAUGCUUAGAUAUCACGAAGAACUCCGAUUGCGAAGGCAGCCUGCUAAGCUGCAACUGACAUUGAGGCUCGAAAGUGUGGGUAUCAAACAGGAUUAGAUACCCUGGUAGUCCACACGGUAAACGAUGAAUACUCGCUGUUUGCGAUAUACAGCAAGCGGCCAAGCGAAAGCGUUAAGUAUUCCACCUGGGGAGUACGCCGGCAACGGUGAAACUCAAAGGAAUUGACGGGGGCCCGCACAAGCGGAGGAACAUGUGGUUUAAUUCGAUGAUACGCGAGGAACCUUACCCGGGCUUAAAUUGCAGAUGAAUUACGGUGAAAGCCGUAAGCCGCAAGGCAUCUGUGAAGGUGCUGCAUGGUUGUCGUCAGCUCGUGCCGUGAGGUGUCGGCUUAAGUGCCAUAACGAGCGCAACCCCUGUUGUCAGUUACUAACAGGUUCCGCUGAGGACUCUGACAAGACUGCCAUCGUAAGAUGUGAGGAAGGUGGGGAUGACGUCAAAUCAGCACGGCCCUUACGUCCGGGGCUACACACGUGUUACAAUGGGGGGUACAGAGGGCCGCUACCACGCGAGUGGAUGCCAAUCCCCAAAACCUCUCUCAGUUCGGACUGGAAUCUGCAACCCGACUCCACGAAGCUGGAUUCGUUAGUAAUCGCGCAUCAGCCACGGCGCGGUGAAUACGUUCCCGGGCCUUGUACACACCGCCCGUCAAGCCAUGGGAGCCGGGGGUACCUGAAGUGCGUAACCGCGAGGAGCGCCCUAGGGUAAAACUGGUGACUGG
RNAcentral lists this ribosomal RNA (1441 nucleotides) under uncultured organism. RNAcentral describes it as "SSU rRNA". It matches the Rfam family "Bacterial small subunit ribosomal RNA". The record is from RNAcentral.